AUAUUUUUAUUUAUUAUAUUUACCUGUGAAAUAUUUAUCUGUAUAAGAUUCUUAAAUUAUUGUUUGCUAUGAGUUUUACCUGAUACACAAGACGAUUCACAGAUGUACCUGUAUGAUGUAUAUAUUUUUAAGGCUUAUUUGUACGGUACAUGCAUUAUGUGAUCUUGUCAAAGUAUAUUUAUAUCUGUGUAAGGCUUGCCUGUUUAUAUAUUUACCUGUAAAAUAUGUAUUGGUAUAAUUGACUUGAUUUGGUGCUAUGAUUAUAUUUUAUAUUUUUGUUAUGGAAUAUGUUUAGUUAGUCUUGUGUAUAUUUGGUUUAUAUAACUAAUUUGGGACUUUUUAUGAUCUGUUUUAUUCCCAAGAACUUGUAAGUUAUAAAAACAAGAAAUAAUUAACAUAAAUAUGAUACCUCCUUUAGAAUGUAGAACAGAAAGUCACAGGACAAAAAGAUACCUCCUUUUUACCAUUGCUUUUCAUUGUCGUUUACAUAAAGGAAAGUAACUUAUGUCUGGUGAUAACUUUAUAGUAAAUUAUCAAUCUUAAUUGCAUACCUCCUGCUUUCCAUUGUGCUUAUCAUGACACAAAGGGUUCAUGAUAAUAAGUAGCAAGUAACUUUUGUCAGGUUAUAUUCAAGAAGGUGCUGUAUGACCCUGUAUGUUAUUCAAUUGUAAUUCUAUUAACUUUAUGAUCACCUAAAUAUUUAUUCAGGAAACAUAAUUGAGGAUAGUUCAAUUUGGUGAAAAUACUAUUUCUGAUGUAAUUUUGACAUAUGACAAACUAUGUCUCACAAUUAUUAUUCCAGGCAUUAUUUUUUUAAUCUUUUAACAGUUAAACCUGGGAACAGUAUGUUUAACAAAAAAUGAUUCUGAUAUGCUUUUUAGUAGAAAAUUGAUAAAAUCUCAGACUUUACGAGCCUUCUCCAGAUUUAUGGAUUUUGGUAGCGUCUGACUGAAAAACUAUAGGAACUGAUCAAUACAUAACCACUCAAUUAUAAUCGUAAAUAAAUAAGAGUUUUAUCAUUAUAGUUAAUUUAUUUUAUCAUAUGAAAUGACCCAAAUAAGUGUGAUUUAAUUGAUGUAAUGUGUUUUAUAAUGGUUUGUAAAUUUCGGAUUGCAAUGGACACCAUUUCUUUUUACCCCCUUUGCAUUCUGUAACCAUAAAUGUGAUUAUAAAAAAAUUGAAGUGACAGAUUACAAAUCUGAUUCAAUGGCAUUACCUUGAAACUUAGUUUGAAUGACAUUGUAUUGAAAAUAAAUAAAAAAGGCUCUCCUAAGUUACAGAGUUGUCAUUUUCAAACUAAAUGAGUAGAAUGGCAAUUUUUCAACCUUAUGUUUUAUCAGCAGGUUUCUGUGUCUUUGGGGAUAUUAUUACCAAUAAUUUACCUUGAAUAUGGAAAGAAACAUGACACAUAUUUAGAAGUUUACAAAGAAAAUUGUAAAACAUUUCUUCAUGAUGACAUGAUAAAGAUGGUAGAAAAUUAGGUAAUUGGUCUAGGACGGAAAUUUAUCUUUUUUUCAAAUUGAGAGGUCUCAUUGAAUUUCUAGUGACCUUAUAGGGGAUAAAUAGCUAUGUAAAACUAUCAUUAAUUUUUAAGUAGCAAUGCCAUGUAUUAAUACUAUGCUGUUACCUUGCCAUUUAUUAUCACUCCAAAUAUAUUUAACUAUGGGGACUUUAUAAUGCGGCUAUUUUUAUAGUGUUAUGCUACUGAACAAUAAAUAUUAUAGAAAAUGUAUAGAAAAUGAUAAAAGUUUUCAAGUGAUAAAAAUAGGAAAACAUAUCUAGGUAGUAUGCUGACCUAUUUGCUUUAUAUGUUGUUGGGUUUCUACCCCUCAUCUUCUUUUAUUAAUGUUUAGAUAGGAGAGUUGGCAUUCAUACCACAUCUUUUAGAUAGGACCAAAUUAUUUAUAGUCUACUACUUUAACCACACCAUACCUGAUUUUGUUUUGAGUUAAGGCAGGUUAUUGUAUUGAUGUUUUAUGUUAAUUCAAUGUUACUUUUAGUCCACAGUAGUUGUUAUUGUUAUGUUUUAUGUUAUUUCAAUGUUACUUUUAGUCCACAGUAGUUGUUAUUGUUAUGUUAUAACUUUAUAUUUGUUAUGUUAUGUGCCAUAUACUUUGUAUUUAAAUACUAGUAUUUUGUGCAUUUUAGCGGGUAAACAUAAGAACCAAGUCAUAAAAUUGUUGAAAUUAGUUUUGUUAUACCCUCCUAUAUUGAUGGCAUUUUAUAGAGUUAUAGAAAAUAUCCAGUAAUUGUAUCCUGCUCUUGCAUGUUAUAGGAGAGACCAUCCACCUAUUUAUAUAUUGCACCAAUUUGACAGUAAUAUCUUUAAGCACAAGUUCUCCUGAAUUACAAGAAAUAUUAGUAUUGCAGGGCAGGGGCAUCCUUUUGUUACUCCAAUCAAAGUUCUUGUUAAAUGUUUUAUUUGUUCAUAAUAAAGUUUUUUUGUUUUGUCAAAAUCCUAUUUGAUGUAAAAUGUGAUGGUUUUUUAUACCCUUUGUCUAAUUCCAGAAUGUACUGACAUAUAAAUCAAAGCUUUACAGCUAUAUUGUGAUAUUUCUUUGUAAUUAAAAGUUUUAAACUA
This 2581-nucleotide long non-coding RNA is filed under the name Mytilus galloprovincialis (Mediterranean mussel). Lineage: Eukaryota; Metazoa; Mollusca; Bivalvia; Mytilida; Mytilidae. The record is from RNAcentral.